Molecule: long non-coding RNA, 1686 nt
Filed under: Canis lupus familiaris (dog)
Lineage: Eukaryota; Metazoa; Chordata; Mammalia; Carnivora; Canidae
Description: lncRNA (ENSCAFG00000050224.1)
Source: RNAcentral
GAUAUUCAAUUAUAAUUAUAAUUUAUUUAGAGAAUUUACUCAGAAUAAACAGAUCCUGAACUUAAUAACAAUGUAAGGAUGCUGGGCAAAAAAACAUAUUGAUCCAAUUUUGAACAAAGCAAAAACAUAAAUCACUUCCAAGAAGAAAAAGAGUUCAUUAUUUAGAAUAUUUUGAUUAAUUUCAUGUAAUCUUGCUAAAUCAAAACCAGUAUUCUACUGUCAUGAGGAAUUUAACAAAUGAAUCUGAAUGACAGGAGAACUAAAUUUAGAAUCUGUGAAUCUACUUUUUAAAUUUCAUAAUUUUAGUGAGAUUUUUAAGUUUUCUGAUAUCAUUAAGACAUCUCUUACAGCUGUUACUUUAGAGAAUUAACUCAACUAUUGAAAUCAAAAGGAAUUUCUCUUUUCCUUGGUAUUAGAUCAUAUAGUAACCCUACUCAUUCUCUUGUAUGAGGUAACGAAAUCCAGCACUGAUAUAGGAAAAACACACAUAUAAGUCCCUCUGGAAACUAUUAUAGUUUUCUUACUAGUUAAAUGAAUUGUAUGAAUUCAAUUAUUCUAUCAGUCACAUUUCAUGAAUGUCCUACCAAUAUUCCUCACUUAGUGGCAUCUCUAUACAAGAAGAAUUUUAGGAAUUUGAGGAAAGAGAAAGCUAAAAGAGGAAUAAUAAUGAAGAGCUACAAAAUUGAUAUCCCUCCUAUACAUCUAUGCCAUACAUGAUACAUAACAGAUAUAUUUUCUUAAAGAUUUUUUGGCAUAUAUAUUAAAUGUGGGGGUUUUGGUAUAUCAAUUACACAUCAAUAAAGCUUUUUAAAAAAGAUAUUUAUCUUUUUAUUUAUCUAUUUAGAUAGAUAUUAAUCUAUUUAGAUAAAAACCACAACCGGAUUUCAGUACUAUACUGAGUAGUUAUAGCAAUAAUAAUAAUAAUAAUAAUAGCACAAUUGAUAAAAAUUUAGAAUUCAGCGUUUUGUGACUUAAUUCAAUUUCAACUCUGUUGUUAUCUUACUCCUACCAGUAAUUCUAAGAAAUAUGGGCCUAAACAGUAACAUGCAUAUGCAUGGACAAAGGCCUGAGGAACCCACUCUGACCCUCCUCUGAAUGUUUUGAAACUCCAUAGAACAGAGUCUCAAAGACUAAAGGACAUUUUCACUUGGAUCGCAUGCCUCCCUAUUUCGGCCAAGAGGAUCCAAGGUAUCUGGGAUCUCUGCAUUGCUUAUCCAAAUGACUCCAAGCCUACUUUCAAGUCCUGCCCACUUCCCAUGGUCAAAUUACUAAGCAUGAAGCCAAACAAAGUGUAGUUACUUGAGUGAGUGUUGACAGACCUUGGUUUGUAGAAACAAGGUAGCCAUAGCCAUGUACGUGCCUAUGGAUAUGCACAUCAUGGUCAAGAUGGAGUGAACAGUUGGAAGAUGACAGUGGCAGGCGUGAGUCAGGGAACUGGUUCCCGCUACUCUACUACAUCCUAGAGGAAAACACAGAAGCCUGAAAUUCUGCAUUUUAACCUGGCCUUCUUCUAGAUAUCAUAAAGAGCUACUUGCUAAUGUCAGAAGAUCAGAACUUUUUAGUAUUUGGAAACAUAGGAUAAUGGUCUAUAUUGACACUCUCAUCCUGGGAUCUGCAAAUACAGAUCUGGAUUCUGAUUGUAAUUGGAAGGUCACAGUCCAGGUUGUAAGUACUGAAGUGAUGAUA